RNAcentral lists this ribosomal RNA (390 nucleotides) under uncultured prokaryote. RNAcentral describes it as "bacterial SSU rRNA". It matches the Rfam family "Bacterial small subunit ribosomal RNA", at positions 151 to 523 of the family's 1533-position model. The record is from RNAcentral.
GCGAAAGCCUCGCUAAUACCGCAUAAGUUUGUUUGGACUCCGGUCUGAACAAGGAAAGCUAGGUAGCAAUAUCCGGCACUCGAGGAGGAGCCUGCGUCGCAUCAGCUAGUUGGUGGGGUAACGGCCUACCAAGGCGAAGACGCGUAGCUGGUCUGAGAGGAUGAUCAGCCACACUGGGACUGAGACACGGCCCAGACUCCUACGGGAGGCAGCAGUGGGGAAUAUUGGACAAUGGGCGCAAGCCUGAUCCAGCCACGCCGCGUGAGUGAUGAAGGCCUUCGGGUCGUAAAGCUCUGUGGGGAGGGACGAACCGCCGGACGUUCAUAGCGUACGGCAUGACGGUACCUCCUUAGCAAGCACCGGCUAACUUCGUGCCAGCAGCCGCGGUAA